GGCCGUUUGGUGGAGUGGUCUAACACGUACGACUCAAGAUUAGUCUUGAUUCUGUAAAAGGAUUUCGUAUCUCGCAAGAGGCCUGGGUUCGAAUCCCAGAGCGGUCA
Thelonectria olida is the source of this 107-nucleotide non-coding RNA. NCBI's taxonomy places the organism in Eukaryota, Fungi, Ascomycota, Sordariomycetes, Hypocreales, Nectriaceae. The record is from the annotation of a GenBank genome assembly.